AUUGAACGCUGGCGGCAGGCCUAACACAUGCAAGUCGAGCGGAUGAAGGGAGCUUGCUCCUGGAUUCAGCGGCGGACGGGUGAGUAAUGCCUAGGAAUCUGCCUGGUAGUGGGGGAUAACGUCCGGAAACGGGCGCUAAUACCGCAUACGUCCUGAGGGAGAAAGUGGGGGAUCUUCGGACCUCACGCUAUCAGAUGAGCCUAGGUCGGAUUAGCUAGUUGGUGGGGUAAAGGCCUACCAAGGCGACGAUCCGUAACUGGUCUGAGAGGAUGACCAGUCACACUGGAACUGAGACACGGUCCAGACUCCUACGGGAGGCAGCAGUGGGGAAUAUUGGACAAUGGGCGAAAGCCUGAUCCAGCCAUGCCGCGUGUGUGAAGAAGGUCUUCGGAUUGUAAAGCACUUUAAGUUGGGAGGAAGGGCAGUAAGUUAAUACCUUGCUGUUUUGACGCUACCAACAGAAUAAGCACCGGCUAACUUCGUG
This 484-nucleotide ribosomal RNA is filed under the name uncultured bacterium. Its description in RNAcentral is "partial 16S ribosomal RNA". It matches the Rfam family "Bacterial small subunit ribosomal RNA", at positions 30 to 507 of the family's 1533-position model. The record is from RNAcentral.